GUUGGGCGCCGAGAUAUGGAGAUGUCACCCAACAACAGGAGUCACAUGUGAUAUGAUUAGCAAGAAGUUGCUUACCGAUCUACCUUGUUUGCUAGCGGUGAUGCUAAAGCUGACUAGUAGACUUGUUAGUUGUGAAUCAACAGAGGGAUAUUGAAUUUAGUGGGAGUAGAUUCUGUUAAAUAGUUUAAUAUGAUUUACUUUGUCAUGGAUACGUUUAUCUUAGUGUAUUUUGCAUUACUUUGUUGUAGAUUAAAUGGCACCUAGCAACACCACAACGUUUGCUUUGCGUUUGGUCCUUGAGAAGGACAAGUUGAAUGGAACAAACUACUCGGAUUGGAUUCGUCAUCUGAGAAUUGUUCUCAGGGCCGAUAAAAAGGAAGAUGUUCUAGACACCCCAUUACCACAAGUACCUGCUAAUGAUGCAUCUGCUGCCGUUAAGGCUGCUUACAAGAAAGCAUUUGAUGUCAAUCUUGAGGUAAGCUGCCAUAUGCUCGCUUGCAUGGAACCUGAGCUACAGAUGCAGUUCAAAACAAAUCAUGAGGCACACGAUAUUAUCGUGGCGCUUAAGGAUAUGUUCCAGACACAGGCUAGGACUGAAAGGUUCAAUGUGUCCAAGGCUUUUCUGGAGUGCAAGCUAGCAGAAGGCACAGAAGUAGGACCAUAUGUAAUCAAGAUGGUUGGUUACACUUAGCGAUUGAAGAAGUUGGGCUUCCCAAUGGGCAAAGUGUUGGCCACUGACUUCAUUCUUUCGUCUUUUCUGCCUAGCUAUGGGAACUUCAUCUCGAACUACCAUAUGCAUGGGACAGAGAAGAAUCUGAAUGACUGUGUGGUAUGCUCAAGACAACAGAAGUUGACAUUAAGAAAAGCGCUAGUAGCAGCCAUGUGAUGGCUUUACAGAAUAAGCCUAGAUUCAAGAAGAAGCGCAAUUCUUGGAAGAAGAAGGGCAAGACUAGAGUGUCCAAGCCAAACCCAGCGCCCAAGGCUAAAGUUGGACCUGCUCCAAAUAAAGAGUGCUUUUAUUGUCACGAACCUGGUCACUGGAAGAGAAAUUGCAAGCAGUACCUAGCUUCGUUGAAGAAUGGCAGAAGUAAGAGUACUUCCACCUCAGGUACGCUUGUUUUUAAUGUUAUAGAAAACAUAUUUUUCGCUGAUACAAUUAUUAAUUCUUGGGUAUUUGAUACCGGAUCGGUUGCUCAUAUUUGCAAUUCGAUGCAGGGAAUGAUAAGAAGUAGAAGCGUUGAAAAGGGAGAAGUUGAUUUCCACGUGGCUAAUAAUGCAAGAGUUGCUGCGUUGACCGUCGGGACGAUGCAACUCCAUCUUUUGCUUGUAACUAUUGCCAUGGUUAUUCUGGGUUGCAAUAAUCUUCUAUGGUGCUGCAAUUGCUAGGUGCUUAUUGCAACAAGAAUUCUGAAUGGAUGCAAUAGCAUGUUCCUAUUGCCACAAUUUUUUGGGGUUGUAAUAAUCUUAUGUGGUGUUGCAAUUGUUAGAUACUUACUGCAACUAUAAUCCUAAAUGGAUGCAAUAUCAUGUUACUAUUGCCACAGUUUUUGUGUGUUGCUAUAGACUAAAGUAUUUGGUGAACCUUUCUAUGUCUAGGACCCAACAGUGUGAACCUUUCUAUCUCUAUCUCCUAUCUUGUGUUAACCUUUGCUAUAUUGUCUCAAUCUCUGUUAUUAGUUUAGUUUGUCUCUCUACACAAUACAUACACUCAGUUUUGUUAGCAAGAUUGGUAUAAAGUGAGAGCCAACAAUCCUCUUGUUCCACGGAUUGAUAAACCUUGGGGGAAUACUCUAAGGAAAAAGCUACAACUGAUCCGUGCGCUUGCGGUUCACGAAUUGACGUGCUAACUACCAUCAACAAGCAUACCCCAACAAGUCUGAUCCCUGUUCAGCCACCGGCCAUGGCCAUGUUCCCAAGCUCCCCUGCUCGCCCAGUCGCAGCCACCCAACACCCAAACCGCCUUGCGAGCUCCACCACACUAGCUCCUCUGCGCCCGCGCCCUCACGCUACCGCCGCCUAGCGCCACCGAGCGCGUCCCCCUGGUUUUGUGUUUUAGCCCCUAAGCAGUCCAAUUUCUUGCUAUCCAGUCCAGCCUUAAGUUUUUACGCAUUUACCUCCCUAGUUUUUGCAGAUAACCCCCUGGGAGUUUUAAGAACUUGCCAGCAAUCCCCUAGAACUUAGUUAAGCCCUAUCUUUCACAUUUUAGCUCCGUUUUGAGUGAUUCCUUUGCUCACGUGUUCGUCAUAACACUUAUAUUAGCUUUGUGCUGCUAUUUAGUAUUGUUAAUACUGCUUGCUAUACUGUUUCUUUAUUUAUUGUAUUACUUUUUGCAUGUGCUUGUGUGAUGCGUAGAGAGCACACCGUUCAAGAAAUUCCCUGAAGACAAGCUAUUGAAGACUCCGAGCAGCAGCAUGGCUUUGAGGAAGGCAAGUGUCCAUGGUCAUUCCCGUUCAUACCUAAAUGACAUGUAAUUUGUUCACAAUAUUUAUUUAUCGCUUGCAUUAAUAUGAUGGGUUCCUAUGAAGGAUGAUGCCUAGUUUAUUUUGAUCAUACCUUGUAGUGGGUUGUUUAAUUAAGCUUGAUGGUAGAUGGUACUUAGUUUGCUCAACUGGGUUGGUACAUAAACAACAUGGUUAUAUUGGUUUAUUCACUCUAUGUUCCUAUAUGUUUUUUAAUUACAAGACCACUUCAAUUAAUUGGAAGAUGGCGAACCACCCAAGAAAAUAGUGCAACCACAAGUAUCAUAUGGAUCUGACUUUGGCAAUUAACUAGUGAACUUAAUGAUCUUACCUGAAAAGGGCAAGAGGGGUGGCAUCGUUGGGGUAUAGCCCGGUCUAGCGGUCCUCUUGAGUGGUAUUCUUGGCUAAGGUACCGCACUCAAUAGGGAGGCUUAGGCUCUACUUUGACUUGAAACCUUAGCGGAUUAUUUUGUAUUAAGUAAACUUUGUGAAGGCCUCAUAGUGAAUCCCUAGCCACUCACCUUAGAAGUGUUUAAGAGGCGAGCUAUCUCGAGCAACCUGGGAAAAAUGAAUUGUGGGUAAGGAUGUACAACCUCUGUAGAGUGUCUAAAAAUUGUUAUAACAACCGUGGUUAUGGUCAAGAGUGGCCUGGACUCUCACAUGAUUAAUUCACAUGAAUAUUAAUGCUCAAUAUUAUUUGUGGAUUGGUAUAAACUUAUAUUUGCUAGUAAUUAGCUGGUGAAUAAAACUUGACCAACUAAAAGUGCUAAGUGCAGUUAACCUUGUCAGCCUUCCGCUAUAUAAAGCCUUGCAUGUCAUUUUUUACCUUUUUCUGACCAAAGUCAGCAGGGGAAACCCCUACCUAUUUUUUAUAUAAUUUUUUUAUUUUAGACCCAUUUAAUUCGCUUCCACGGGGAGUCGAACCCGAGCCUACUGGGUGCUACUCAGUUGCUCUAACCACUGGGCUAGAGACCCUUUCGCAUCAUUUUUUUCCUUCACCUGCUGAGUACGGCAUGUUCUCACACUUGUGUUUUAUGUAUUGCGUCUACAACACCUGGAUUACUGCUCAGACUUAGAGAAUUUUGAGUAUUAUUCUAGAGAUUUUGAGGAGUUCUAGGCAAGUCCUCGAGUCAAUUGCCUAUGUAGAUGGAGCUUUUGUUUACGUUUCUUAGUUAUGCUUGUUUAUUCUUCCGCUAAGACCUUUGUGUAACACUAGUGUUAUUAAAAGCCUAAGAAACUCAUUAAGAUGUUAAUGAUGAAAUUUGGAUUAAAAAGAAGUAUUAUGGGCCAAGUUCAAAUUUGAGCCAAAUUUGACCAAAAAAUUCAAAUUUAAGAUUCAAAUUUGGAAAAAUUCGAUAAAAAUGUGGAAUCAAGACUUGAAGGUGUUUAGAAUUCAAAGGAAUCAAGUUGGACAUUACAUUCAAGUAAUAAGCAUCUCAAAUGCAUAGUCAAAGUUGUUGACUUCGAUCACUAUUCACAAUCUGAAAAUUUCCAAGUCUGAAACAGUGGCAACCAUCAAACUUUGAAAUUGGUUUCUGAAGAAGUUUUCAUUUAAGUUAUGUGAUGUUUUGGACAACAAGUAGACUUGGAUGAUGAGUGAAUAUUUUGGAGAAAUUGUUGGCCAGAUAAUUCAAAGGAUUCAAAUUUUAAAAAGGGCCCAAAGUUUGAAAGUUGUACUGUCUUGAGUUAACUGACGAAAUGAAUGGCAAUUGCCAUUUCAACUCUGAAAAAAGUGGUAAUUGACCAACUUUGGCUCAGCAUUUUGAAAAAUUCUUUAUGAAGAUGUUGAACAGUAACAUGCAAAAUGGGAUCUAUAAUAUGUGGUUAACCAUUGACAAUAGCCCCUGAACCAAGAAAAGUUGGUUUGGAUAUUAAAUUUGGAGCUGAAAGAUGGAACACAGUUACUGUUUGAAAGUUGUUUGAUGAAACUAAAUGGUGUGUUCCAUCGAACACUAACAGACAGUAAAAGAGCUAAAUUUUGGGGAUUCAAUUCGAGGGAUAGAGUGAUCCUUUGCUCGAGAUGCAAAUCUAUUGGAUGAACUUCUAUGGAUCCUCUAGAAGUUUGAUUAAAGGGGAUUGUAGAGUUUGAAUUGAAAGUUAAGCACAAAUUGGAUUUUAAUUUCGGGCAGAAUUAAAGCAAAGAGGGAAGAACCGGAGCGGAGGCCCUGCCAUGUAGCUGCUUGCCGCUGAUGGCCAGAGGCAGUUUCGCCGUGCCACGUGCCAGCGAAGGCGUGCGAGUUGAAGCAGGUAGGCAAGUAUGACGUGUCUGAUGUGGAGGUGGUAAAAAUUCAUAUAUAUACCACUCCCACCAUCCGUAUCUAUCCAUUUCACCACCGCCACUUAGUUUUUAUAGCGCCUCGGUCACCGGCGAGUUCCACCGCCGUCCCACCACUGCCGGCCAUUUCCCUCCGCCAGAACCAUAUCACAUUGCCAUCCUGAACCCGUUCCACCAAUCACCAUCCAUCCCCUUCCACCAUAGCGCUUUCCUACCACCAUCUUCCUCAAGUCCGGCAGCUCUCUGUUUUUGAUCCUGAAGCUCCUCAAGUGGAUUUCUUGGAUUUAUCUAAAGAGCCUUAGGAAUUCGAGGAGGUUAUUGAGGUUGUUCCCUGUGUUGAAAGAUCUCCUGAAGGAACUAACUUUUUUGUGAACCAAGGCAAGCCCCGGAGCAUCUACACCUAUUAAUUUCAAAAAUUAUUAUUCAUGUGUCCAAAUUAUUGGUUAAUUUCCUUAUUUGUCCAUUAAGUCUAGAAGGUGAUUGAAACCUUACUCUUAUGUAUAAUCCAACAUUAUUAUAGGACAUCUGUUGGCGCUAAAAAUCGGCCGAUGGCCUUCAGCGUCGGACACACGACCCGGGGGAAUCUGCUUAAUUGCUGUUCGGGUGAUCGCCCUGGUGCGGUUCGUGCGGCGUGCCAGUCAAUCUGACCUGUUGAUUGACAAGGAAAGAAACGUAUUAAAUUCCAGGGACCUCGAUCGGCUAAAAUUCCGAUCUGUCUCAAAAAGCGUAUCAGCGAAUCGGCCGAUUUAAUAUGAAGAUGACCAGCUAUAGAACAGCCCAUAAUCAUGUAGCGAUUAUGAAAAAACUACCAGAGUAGCCUAAAUAACGCUACAAAUAGAACACUUGAAAUAGAUCUAAUUAGCUAUAUGAUUAUAAAUGAGAAUAACAAUAAUAAAGCUGACAACCCAAAUCUCAAGCUGGAUAGCUGGUGAUAAAACUAGAACAAUAGAUAAAACUUAUAAUUCUAGUAAAUAUCGAUAACUGGUGAAUAAAUCUAAACGAAACAACAGCGAUACGCCCGAAGUUAAAGCUUAGAUAUUACUCGAUAAACGGAACUUACAGAAUCGGUCGGAGAUCGUGUCGAUGCAGCCCUGCCAACCCGUAUGAACUCGUGAAAGAAAAAGAAGUAUUGGCGAAGUCGCUGACUUGAAAGUAAAGUACGAUGAAAAAGUAGAUUGUUUGUAUUGAUUGAUGUGUUUUUUUACAAAUCCCUAAAGAUGGCUAUUUAUAGCCUAUUACAACUGAUUUCCUAACCAACUAGGAUCUAUCUCUAAUUUUAAACGAAAACGAAUAUUUACUCGUAUCGGAGUUGGUUAUCAUACUCCCACGGGCCAAUCUUUCUCUAUCUUCUUUUUCUAGCCCACCUUAAGCCCAUAUUGGCCCAAACGCCCCAGCCUUCCAACCGGCCGACCUCCACCAACUCCGUCUGCCAAUCGCUCGAAACACUGUAGCGCCAAUCGGCCGAUUCCCAACUGUAGCACCAAUCGGCCGAUUACUAAUCGUAACCUUUUAAUCCGCCUCAUCGGUCAAUCCUUUCCUCUCUUGAUGCCGAUCCAAAACGUGUCAAAAUCUGGUGUCAACACAUGCCCCCCAGUUUUGGAGUAAAACAUGACUUUUACUUCAAAAUUCUUUUUUAACCUCUUUUCCGAAACAAACGCGGCAAAAGCCUCCUUCUAUUUCGCGGUCUUCUACAUGAUGAUUGCAAUCUUUUCGAACUGGGCGCCUGAGACAACCGCUCCCCCAAAAUUUUUGUAGAUGGCACGGUAAAAAUCCCACCUUUACCCCUUCUCUUGAACCGUCUUCAAACACUAGCGUUCCCUACCGCUUCUUCUCCACGAGCUCAGUAACUUCCUCCUCGGGAAUCACUUUCCAUCUUCUCCUAGCGCCCUUUUGGCUUCCAAUCGCAUUCUCCGGUGAUCCUUCUUUUGUCUGCAUCCCGCUUCAUCCCCUCAAUGGCAGUGCCAUCGGCAAUUCCACCAGCAACGGAAGCUCCGCCGGCAGCUCCAUCAGUGAUGGCAGUUCCAUCGGUGAUCCCAUCAGCAACGAUGAGCUUUAUUCCAGAGGUAAACAUCCGAAACUUUUCCCUUUUUCUUUUUACCGCCCAACCAUCUUUUCGAUCUAUUCUUAGUUCUUCCCUUUUUUACCUUCUUUAGGCGGUCAAACAGCAAAUCACCAUCCGCCUUUCUGAAGCUCCUGGUCUCAUCUACCUAGGCCCUAUGGGGAACCCAGACCCGACUAAUCUGAUUAAUUUAGGAACCCAUAGAAUCCCUUUAAAGCAAUCACCUAUGGAUUUGAGCCAGUGGUCAGGCACUUUUAGAUCUUGGCCGAAUGAAACCCUCGGCUGGAAAGAGUGGUACCAAAGAAUGGCCAACUCCAAGAGAGUUCAAUGCAAUGAAUUAAAAAUCGGCCAGUGCAUCAAUCUAUCUUUGUCCCAAAUAGAGAAGAAUGAACCAUUGGUGAUAGCAGCCUCCUACUUCUUGUCUGACGCGCUUAAUGCGUUUCUCUUCGGGCACGGACCCAUGAACCCAACUCUGGCCGAUGUUUUGAUGCUAACCGGCCUCGAUAUUUCCUCCCCUGAUGCACCCUUUAAUUAUCUGAUCAAACCGACUCAUCGGCUAGAGACGAAAGGAAUCAGCGGGUGGAAGGGGUAUAUCAAUAAAAACAUGAGAAACAGGACGAUUUUAGAGAGGGAAUACGCAGCCUUCUUGAUGAUGUGGCUAGAGAAGCACCUUUUCUGUGGUAGAGCAGUCGGCCCUUCUUCCAACACACAAGCUCUGGUCGAAGCCCUGUCAAGAGGAGCAGCCAUCCCUCUUGGGAAGCAUCUGCUAGGAUUGGCCUACCACAUGAUGCACCAGAUUGGUGUCAAAUUGUCAAAGGGAGAGCCGAUUGGUAAUCCUGGUGGUCCCUGGUGGUUCAUCACCCUCUGGCUCAACUUGUACAUGAGCAAGGUCUUUCAGUAGCAGAUAGAGACCAAGACAUUCCCCAACAUUGAGUCAGAGGAAAACCCCACAGUAUGACGACGGUGCACCUCUUUCGGCGAAGCGGCAUCAGCUUUCCCUGGUUGCCAGUUCACCGCCACCCAGACAGCCGAGUAUUUCAGAUGCUUCUACAACGGCUUUAGUGAAGAAACCACAAGUUGGUAUCCAUACCAGAGAAUAGAGCCACUCUUUGAGCUUCCCUUCUUCUAUGACUCGACGUCCAACUCAACGAUCUCACGGAUGCCUUGAUCAAACCAGGGAUCUUACCAGCAAACUUCUUCUCCGGGAAGGAUUCCCCAACUUAUGAGUUUUACAACCCAUCAGUUGCAACACGGCAGUUUGGCCUCGGUCAGCUGCCGAUUCAGGUUUACUUUGCCGGUCGCGCAAAAUUCCGGGACGAGCUCACCAAGGGCCUCGAUUACAAUCAGCUGUGCAACCUAGUGCCAGACUCCAGUACCAUUGAUCUAAACAAUGGGGUAGUGGCUCCUUUUGCUGUUUAACAAUUCAAAUUAUAGUGGGCAGAAUGGAAGCAGCAUCUCUUUUGUGUAUCUCCUGCAACAUAUUGCAGUGAUCUGGAUCCUGACAACAUCGACCCAAACGCAGCGGUAUUGCACUUUUCUCAGCCAAUUUUGAUGUCAUUUCCUUUUAUGUUACAAAUUUGCUGCUAACUCUUAUUUUCUUUUACAGUCUGAAAGUCGACUUCCUCCAACGCGCAGCCAGAGUGGUAGGCCGAUAGAGAAUCGCUACCUAUACACACCAUUCCCACUCAUCGGCUAUCAUGCCCUAACCAUCGAAGACAUCACCACCAAAAGAUCAAAACAAACGCUGAAGAAAACCUCCUCAAAGAAGACGAGUCACCGAGUGCGUGCUCGUAUAGAAUCGGCCGAUCAGUCGGCGACGGCAUCGGCUGAAUCCUUAGCUGCGCCGACUCUGCUGAUUAUCGAGGAAGUCGAUCCCCAGGCUGCUACAGAAGCUGUAGCGGUUGCUGCAUCAUUGAUGGUAGAAGCUGUUCAGGUAACUUCGUACACCCCACAUUCUUCUAAGUAGCCUUUCGAUAUUAAUUUCUUCCAUCUGUUAGGCCGCGCAAAUCGCCCCAAUGCAAUCUCCGUAGCAAUCAGUCACCAUCCAGGCAGAGACUGAGGCGCUAGCGAUUCCUCCCUCUGAGGUAGAGAAUAUCUGUUUAACCCCAAUUUCUUAAUGCUUAACCAAAAUCUAACCAAUUUUUGAUGCAGACCCCUCUGGACACAUCAAUUGUACUCUUCUAUCGGCCAUCGGCCGGACGACCCCCAGAGGUAUAGCAGUCAUUACUUGUCAUCAGACUUAAUUACUUGCCUCAUACUUAUAGAGAACCGUUUCUUAAUCCUUUCCAGGAAGCCGGCCCAAGCACAGUGCCAAUAAUCAUCAAAUCCUCUUCCUCUCUUGAAGUGAACAUCGUCCCUUGAUCAGUCAUGAUGGUCUAUGGGAUACCGAACCGAUAAACAAUGUGGUCCCUCACGAAAUCGACCAUAGCGGCCGAUGUCACAGCCUUCAAUGCGACUGCCUCCACCCACUUGGUAAAAUAGUCAGUGGCUACUAAUAUGAACUUGUGUCCCUUGCUUGAUGGAGGAUAAAUCUGUCCGAUGAGGUCUAUUCCCCAACCUCUAAAUGGCCAUGGCUUGAUUAUCGGGUUCAUAGCCGAGGCUGGUGCACACUGCACAUUGCCAAACUUCCGACAGUGACACCCUUUAUAAUAUUUAAAGCAGUCUUCGAGUAUCGUCGGCCAAUAAUACCCGUUAUUUAUAAUCAUCCACUUAAUUUUGUGAGCUGAUUGGUGAGCUCCGCACACGCCUUCGUGGAUUUAUCCCAUCAGGAUCUUUGCUCCUUCCGUUCCCAGGCAUUUGAGCAGAACUCCAUCAAUUAUUCGGUAAAACAAAUCAUCUUCAAGUAGCACAUAUUUCGUGGCUUGAAAACGCACUCGCCGAUCCACUUUCUUGGACGAAUCCUUCAAGUAAUCGGCGAUCUCCUUUCGCCAAUCGUCGGCCGCGAGCUCCAGAGUCAUAGCGCCUUGAAUUGACCGAUACCCGGACGCGUGUUGGGCAAGCCUAUUGGCCUCUUCAUUGUAGUUUCUGGGAAUAUGCUCAAUAACCGCGGCCUUGAAUUCUUUUAAAAGUUGGAGGCAAUCUUCGUAGUAAAUUCUCAAGAUGUCAUCUCUGCAUUCGGAUCUCCCCGUUAAUUGAUCUACGAUGAGCAUGGAAUCCCCGAAAAUUUCCACAGCGUCGGCUUUGAUCUCUCUCAAUAAUUGAAUGCUCUUUAAGACAGCUUAGUAUUCCGCCUGAUUGUUGGUCGCGGAAGCUUCUAUCGGUAGAGAGAAAUCAUAACUUGCCCCCCGAGGCGAUAUGAGGACGAUGCCGAUUCCUGACCCGGCCCCACACGAAGAACCAUCGAAGUAUAGAGUCCAUGGAACUGGUUGAACGACAGCAAUUUUCGGUCUGCAAUGUUGAGCCACGAAAAAGGCCAUGACUUGACCCUUGACAGCUUUGGUCGAUUCGUACCUCAGGUCAAACUCUGACAGAGCUAAGAUCCACUUUCCGAUUCAUCCUUUCAGAAUUGGCAAUGAUAGCAUGUACUUUACCACGUCAUCUUUGCACACGACUAUGCACUCAGCCGAUAACAGGUAGUGCCUGAGCUUCGUGCAUGAGAAAUACAGACACAGGCACAGCCGUUCUACCGGGGAAUAUCUUGCUUCAGCGGCCAGGAGUCUUCUGCUGACGUAAUAUAUUACCCGUUCUUUUCCUUCGAACUCCUGUACCAGUGCUGAUCUGAUAGCCCGUUCAUGAGCUGAUAAGUAUAGUCUGAACGACUUAUCAGCCUGUGGCGGGACUAAUACAGGUGGCGAAAUCAGAUAUUGCUUGAUGUCUUCCAAUGCUUUUCGCUAUUGUUGGCGCUAGAAAUCAGCUGAUCGAAUUCCCAGCGUCGGACACACGACCCGGGAGAAUCUGCUUAGCUCCUGUUUGGGUGACUGCCCUGGUGCGGUUCGCGCGGCGUGCCAGCCAAUUUGACCUGUUGAUUGGCAAGGAAAUAAACGUGUCAGUUCCCAGAGGUUGCGAUCGGCUAAGGUUCCGAUCUCGAGAAAGCUUAUCAGCGAGUUGGCCGAUUUGCCGUAAUAAAGAAAUCGGCUAUGAUGCAAUCGAGUAUCAGGCGACGUUUAUAAAGAAAACUGCUAGAGUAAUCUAAACAACGCUACAGUAGCAACACUAGGAAUAGAUCUGAAUCGGCUAUGAGGAAAGCGGUAAAUUAAGUAACAAGAUAUAAGAAAGCCGAAAGUUCUAAUUCCAAGCUGGAUAACUGGUGAUAAAACUAGAAUAACAGGUAAAACCUAGAAUUCUAGUGAAUAUCGAUAACUGGUGAAUAAAUCUAAACGAAACAACAGCGAUGCGCCUGAAGUUAAAGCUUAGAUAUUACUCGAUAAGCGGAACUUACAGAAUUGGCCGGAGAUCAAGUUGAUGCAGCCCCGCCAACCUGUACGAACUCGUGAAAAGAAGAAAAGUAUUGGCGAAGUCGCCUGCUCGAAAGUAAGUACGAGGAAAUAGUAGUUUGUUGUAUUGAGUUGAUGACGAUUACAGAUCUACAAGGGUGGCUAUUUAUAGCCCUGUACAAACGACUUCUUAUCUGACUAGAACUCUAUCCCUAAAUUCAAACAGAAAAUGAAUAUUUACAAGUACGAUUCGUACUAUUUUCACGCGAUUCAUGGGCUGACCCCCUCUUCAUCUUCAUAAUCCUUCUUAAGCCCACAUCGGCCCAACUAUUCCAACCUCCUAAUCGGCCGAUCACCUCUUUGGCAAGGGGGUAACCGAUCAGGACCCACAUGUCGAGGGCUCAGACUCAUUCCGACCCUGGGAACUAAGGUCGGGCGAGGCGGAGAUCCUCACUUGGAGGGUCGGGCGCGUCCGAUCCCAAACCUCAGGGGUCGGGCGAGGCGGAGAUCCUCCCUUGGAGGGUCGGGCGUGUCCGAUCCCAAACCUCAGGGGUCGGGCGAGGCGGAGAUCCUCCCUUGGAGGGUCGGGCGCGUCCGAUCCCAAACCUCAGGGGUCGGGCGAGGCGGAGAUCCUCCCUUGGAGGGUCGGGCGCGUCCGAUCCCAAACCUCAGGGGUCCGGCGAGGCGGAGAUCCUCCAUUGGAGGGUCGGGCGCGUCCGAUCCCAAGCCUCAGGGGUCGGGCGAGGCGGAACUCCAAGGAUCAAUCGGCCGAUCCUCGACUGUAGCAUCAAUUGGCCGAUCCUUGACUGUAGCACCAACCAACCGAUCCUUGACUGCAGCACCAAUCAGCCGAUUUCCAAUCGUCGCCCUUGCAUCUCGCCGCAUCUCCUAAUUUCUUCCACUUCCAACGCCGAUUUUACUCGUGUCAAAAUCUGGCGUCAACACAUGCCCCCCAGUUUCAGAGUAAAACAUAGUCUUUACUUCGAAAUUCUUUUCAACUUCUCAUCCGAAACAGACGCCACGAAAACAUCCUUCUGUUUCGCGAUCUCCAACCUGAUGAUUGCAAUCUUUUCGAAACGGGCGCCCACGACAACCACUACUCCCGAAAAACUCGAAACGCCGGCGCGGUAAAAAUUCCACUUUUACCCCUUCUCAGACCUUCUUUAAAUAUCAGCACAUCCUGUACUCCUUACGAGCUCACAUCCUUCUUUUUUUAGCGCAUAGGCUUUCUUCUCCCUUCAACACUUUCCUUGGUCCUCCAAUUCUCCAGCGCCUCCUUUCUUUCGCAUUCCCUCCUACUUUCCCAAUGGCGGCACCUUUAGGCACCUCACCAACGUGUGAAGCUCCAGAAAUGGUGCCUUUGGCGGAGGUCCCAGUAGCGACAGCGGCGGCUCCAUCAACGGAAGAAGGAGCUCCAUCGGUGAAAGUUGAAGCUUCAUCCGAGAUCCCAUUGGCAGCUUCAUCGUCUACAGCUGCACCGGCGAUUCCGCCGAUUACGAGGAGCUUCAUCCCGGAGGUCAUUACCGAAACUUUCCCUUAUCAGUAAUGCAUUUACUUUAGAUCUAUUUCUUACCCUCACACCCCCUUUUCCUUUUUAGGCGGUUAGGCAUCGCACCACCAUUCGUCUUACAGAAAACCUCAGCCUUAUCUGCCUUGGGCCCAUGGGAAAUCCAGAUCCAACCGACUUAAUCAAUUUGGAAACCCAUAGGAUCCCCUUCAAACAAUCAACUAUGGACCUAGAUCACUGGUUGGGUACCUUUAGGUCUUGGCCGAAUGAAACUCCCGGUUGGAGGGAAUGGUACCAACGGAUGGCCGCCUCCAAGAAGGUCCAAUGGGACGAGCUCAAAAUUGGCCAAUGCAUUGAUCUAUCUUUGUCCCAAAUGGAACGGAAUGAGCCGUUAGUGGUGGCAGCUUCUUACUUCUGGUCCAAUGCUCUCAACGCAUUCCUGUUUGGACACGGACCCAUGACCCCCACAUUGGCCGAUGUAGUCUUGGUGACCGGCCUGGACAUUUCUUCCCCGGACACCCCUUUCCGCCUUAUAGCCGCAACAUCACAUCGGCUGGACACAAGGGGAAUCGGCGGGUGGAAAGGUUUCAUCAGAUGCAACAAAAGGGCCGGAUCUGUCGAGAGCAGAGAGCACACGGCCUUCCUGAUGAUGUGGCUAGAGAAGCACUUCUUCUGCGAGAGAGCAGCUGGUCCAUCUACCAAUACCCAAGCUCUGGCCGAAGCAUUAUCAAUAGGGACUUUUGUUCCUCUUGGAAAGCACUUAAUGGGAGCAGCCUACCACAUGCUUCACCAAAUCGGCAUCAAGCUAUCCCAAGGGGAGCCGAUUGGAAACCCAGGUGGACCCUGGUGGUUCAUUAACUUAUGGCUGAACUUGUACAUGAGCGAGAUCUCUCAGCAGCGAGUGGAACACAUGACAUUCCCCAGCGUCGAAUCGGUAGAGAAUCUCACUGUCCGACGCCGGUGUACGUCUUUCGGCAAAGCGGCAUCGACCUUCUCUGGUUGCUCGUACUCUGCUACCAAGGUGGCCGAAUACUUCCGGUCUUUUUAUAACGGCUUCAAUGAAGAUGCAACCGUCUGGUUCCCUUAUCGGAGAGAUGACCCAAUCUUUGAACUCCCUUCUUGCUUCGACUCAACCACCGGCCGAUUCGACGAAGAUCUCACAGAUGAACUAAUUAAACCAGGGAUCUUACCGGCCAACUUCUUCUCAGGAAAGGAUGCCCCUACAUAUGAAUUCUACAACCCCUCCGUUGCAGCACGGCAAUUCGGCAUGGGUCAACUGCCGAUUCAGGCAUACUUCAUCGGCCGAGCAAAGUUCAGAGAUGAGCUCACCAAGGGUCUUGACUAUAGUCGGCUGCGAGAUCGGAUACCAGACUCUAGUACCAUAGACUUGAAUGACUGGAUAGUAGCCCCCUUUGCUGUCCAACCAUUCAAGCUAUGGUGGGCCGAAUGGAAACAGUACCUGUUCUGCGCCUCCGCAUCGACAUACUGCAAUCUCCUGGAUCCAGCCAACAUCGAUCCGAACGCUGAGGUAUUUUUUCCCCUAGCCGAUUUUCAUUCCUUUAUUAAUGCGGUUAAAUAUGUACACUAACAUCUUGCUGUUGCAUCAGUCUGAAAACCGUGUUCCCCCAACACACAGUCGGAGUGGCCGGCCGAUAGAGGACCAUCACCCAUACACCAUCUUCCCCCUUAUCGGCUAUGAUGCCCCUUCCGUGGAUGUGAUUGCCGGCCGAUCGAAGCAGGCGUAGAAGAAGGUUACCAAGAAGACCAGUCGCCGAGUACGAGCUCGUAUAGAACCGGCCGACCCUCCUAUGAUCACAUCGGCAGAAACUUCGGCCGCAUUGCCCCUUCCAGCUGCUGGAGAAGUGGAUACUCAAGUCGUCACGCAAGCUGGGGCGGCCGCUGCAUCAUUACUGGUGGAGGCUAUGCAGGUAAACUUGUUGUCUGAUCCUACCGAUUGCCAUCCCUAUACUUACUCAUCUUAUUUUAGACUGCACAAAUCACUUCUGUGGACUCACAACAAUCGGCAGCAACCCAAUCGGUCAUCAACACGCCCACGCUUCCAUCUGCCGAGGUAUACUACUCUUCAACUGAUUUUUCUAGUAUUUGAAUAAUAUUCUUAUUCAAUCUUUUGACACAGGUCACCGGUACGCUUAGCGCCCCACCUAACCAACCAAUGGUCAUCUUUUGGGAAGCUGGCCCAAGCAAAGCACCAAUCAUGGUGGAGUCUUCUACUUCUGAUGAACCAAUGGUACCAGCCCCUGAAUAGAGGAUAACGGCCUCCCAAACGCAGUUUGAAGAAAUCCGUUUCAAGGAGGUAAGAGAUUUCUCACCCUUACUCGGCCGAUUUGCUACCAUCAUCGGCUGAUUUGUUCUUCUUCUUGACGCACUAUUUUUUAGGAACAGGACACCCCCAACAAUAGCCUUUUCUCGUUUGCGGUCGCACUCUCCGAUGAUGAGGAAGUCGCCUAUCGCCAGGUCACUUUGAGCUCCGUUCCUGAUGACGUCCGUGCCAAACUCACAAGCACCCGAUCCCUUCUCCAAGAGGACAUCGACCGAUUGGUAGAAGAUGCUUCGCCGAUUCGACAACUUUUUGGUGACGUCAGCGGGCGAGUACCAGAAGAAGCGGAAGAGGCCUUGGCGCCGGCCGCAUAUAUCGAGUCAAUGAGGAUUCUGGUCUUUAGGGCCCUGCGCCACAUGGCCGAUCGCGUCAAGUUGACCAAGACUCAUGAAGAAGAAGACACGUACAAGCGUCAAGCUCAAGAGGUGCAUCAACGGAUUCACUUUCUGGAAGACUCUCGCCCGGGGAUCGUCGGCAUGAUAGAUCGCCUCAAACGCCGAAGGGCAGAGCUUGCCAAGGAGAUGGAGCAGGUGACCAAAGCAAUAGACGCCGAAGAGAAGAGGCUUCAGGAACUCCCUUCUGUCAUCGCCGAUCUGAAACGGGAGAGGCAGCAUCUGGCUCACGAAGCCCUCAAACUCCACCGCCAUAUGUCAGAAGUCCCCGGAUCGGCAGAGGAUGACCAACGGGUCCUAGACUCUGCCGAUCAGAUCCGGCGCUGAGCGAUCGCAGCUAUCGAUGCCCUUCUGGGUGACCUGUAAAAGUACUGGCAGUUCUUGUACGAACAUUUAAUGACCCCUUUGACCGUCCUUCGCGACGCCCCCUUAUUUAUUACCUUUUACACCCCCGAUGGGACGCGUCUUACCAAACAUCCAUGCCUUCCUUUCCUAUAAACACCGGCCUAGAUGACAAUUUUGAGAGUACCUGUCUAACUCGGCUUCAUCUUCCCCGACCUGUUCAGAUCGGUGCGCCUUUCGGUCAUGUCUUCUCCAUCCUCUACCUCUUCCUCCGUUAAUCAGGUAAAAGAUUUGCCUUCAUUCUCUUUCUUAGUUUAGCUCUUCUGAAGGGAAUCACCUUUUCGGCAGCUAUAUGUAUAUUGUUGCUUUCCGCAGCCACGGCGCCUUAGCCCUGAACUCGAACGAGCCAUCGGACUUGUACACUCCGACGAACCAUUGUCGCAAGAAGACAAGGAUUUAAUCAGAGCUCAUCGCGACGAACUCCAAGAGCACGUCCUUGCCGACAUCCGACGGAUCUGGGACUUUCUGGACAGCAACGACCACCGGCGACCUCGAGCCGACAGAAGUCAUCCGCUUCCUCAUCAAAUCGUCCUUGAAGAUGCAGCAGCAGGAACAUCACACCCGGCCAUGGACCGGAGUCACCCUCUCCCCCGUCAAGUCGAAGCGGAGGCUUUGAUGAAAGAGAUAGAAGAAGAGUACAUCCGUCUUCUGAUAGAACUAGGUCGGGCUGAGAGAGAGCUUAAGAAAAAGCGUGAUUAAUUAUUUUUUGUUCUAAGGGCGACUUGUACCUUGUCGGUCGUGUAACCUACCGUCCGUACUGAAUGAAAUAUAUCGGCCGAUUUGGACGAUUACGUUUUUCCUCUAGACGAAUCCUUUUGUAUCGGCUGUGUGUUGUUCAUCGUGGUCGAUCCUUAUGCUCCGACCCAUAUACUAGGGUAGUACCUUUUCAAGUAUCUUCCGUUCAGAGCCCUAGUAAACUCUUCUCCUUCAAUUGUUUCCAGAAUGUAAGCGUUUCCUGGAGCACAUCUGCCGAUUUUAUACGGCCCUUCCCACGUAGGGGACCACUUACCGAAUUUAGGAUCUUUCAACCCGAUCGGCAACACUAACUUCCAUACCAGGUCCCCUGGAGAGAAUUGUUUGACUUUGACCUUCUUAUCAUACCACCUGGCCACUUUCUUCUUGUUUUCUUCGAUGCUUAUCAAAGCUCUCAAUCGUUGGCCAGCCAAGUCAUCAAGUUCCCUUUUCAUGAGUGAGGAGUAGUCGUCGGCCGCUAACUAGUCCUGGAGCGAAGUGCGUCUCGACCCUGCUCUCAAUUCCCAUGGUAGUACCGCCUCGUGACCGUACACCAACUAAUAAGGGGACAUCUUGGUGGCCCCAUGGCAAGCCAUCCUGUAUGCCCAUAGAGCUUCAGUCAGACAUAAAUACCAUUUUCUCGGCUGCUCCUCUAUCUUCCUCUUGAUUAACUUAAUUAUCCCUUUGUUGGAAGAUUCGUCCUGGCCAUUAGCUUGGGCAUAAUACGGAGAGGAGUUUAACAAUUUGAUUCCCAUAUCAGCCGUGAACUCCUCGAAUUCUCCCGAUGUAAACAUCGUCCCUUGAUCGGUUGUGAUAGUCUGGGGGAUGUCGAAACGGUAGACGAUAUGGUCUCUUACGAAGUCAACCAUAGCAGCCGAUGUUACGGCCCUUAACGGAAUUGCCUCCACCCAUUUGGUGAAAUAAUCAGUGGCCACCAGAAUGAACUUGUGCCCUUUGCUUGACGGAGGAUAAAUUUGGCCGAUGAGGUCUAUUCCCCAACCUCUGAACGGCCAUGGUUUGAUAAUGGGAUUCAUGGCCGAUGCGGGCGCAUGUUGGACAUUCCCGAAUUUCUAACAAUCCUGGCAUCCUUUAUAAUAUUUGAAGCAAUCUUUGAGGAUCGUCGGCCAGUAAUACCCAUUAUUCCUAAUCAUCCAUUUCAUCUUAUGUGCCGAUUGGUGGGCUCCACACACUCCUUCAUGGAUUUCUCCCAUCAGAGUCUUAGCCUCCUCCAUUCCUAGACACUUGAGUAGGACGCCAUCAAUUGUUCGGUAGAACAAGUCGUCUUCCAGUAACAUAUAUUUGGUAGCAUGAAACCGUACCCGCCGAUCCACUUUCUUAGAUGGAUCUUUCAGGUAAUCGGCAAUCUCCUUUCGCCAGUCAUUGGCCGCGAGCUCCAGAGCCAAGGCGCCUUGAAUCGGCCGAUACCCAGAUGCGUGUUGGGAGAGCUUGUUGGCAUCCUCGUUGUGAUUCCUUGGGAUGUGCUCGAUAACUGCCGACUUGAAUUCUUUCAGAAGUAGCAGGCAAUCUUCGUAAUAAAUCCUCAACACAUCGUCCUUGCACUCGGACUUCCCUGUUAACUGAUCCACGAUAAGCAUGGAAUCCCCAAAAAUUUCGACGGAAUCAGCUUUGACUUCCCUUAGCAAUUGUAAUAGCUCGGUACUCUGCUUGAUUGUUAGUGGCGGAUGCUUCUAUCAGCAGAGAGAAAUCAUAGCUUGCCCCCCGAGGCGAUAUGAGGACGAUGCCGAUUCCUGAUCCGGCCCCACAUGACGAUCCAUCAAAGUAUAAGGCCCAAGGUACUGGUUCUACGAAGGUAGCCUCUAGCCCGCAGUGGUGGGCAAUGAAAUCGGCCAUGACCUGACCCUUAACGGCUUUUGCCGAUUCAUAUCGAAGGUCAAACUCUGACAAAGCCAAGAUCCAUUUUCCGUCCGUCCUUUCAAAAUCGGCAGUGACAGCAUGUAUUUUACCACGUCGUCCUUGCAUACGACCACACAUUCCGCUGACAGCAAAUAGUGCCUGAGUUUGGUGCAUGAGAAGUAAAGGCAUAGGCACAAACGCUCCACUGGAGGAUACCUUGUUUCGGCGUUUAGAAGUCUUCUACUGACAUAAUAAAUUACCCGUUCCUUUCCCUCGAACUCCUGGACCAGAGCCGACCCAAUAGCUCGUUCAUCGGCUGAUAAAUAUAUUUUAAACGACUUACCAGUUUGAGGAGGGACCAAUACCGGUGGUGAGACCAAGUACUGUUUGAUAUCUUCCAAUGCCUUGCACUGCUCUUCCCCCCAUAUGAACUCCUGGUCGGGCUUCAACUUUAAUAAUGGUGUGAAGGCUUGGAUUCGCCCAGACAGAUUAGAUAUGAAUCUUCUGAUGAAAUUCACCUUGCCGAUUAAAGAUUGCAGCUCAGUUUUAUUCUGCGGGGCCAUGACUUUGUUGAUGGCUGCUAUGGUCUUCCGAUUGAUCUCUAUUCCCCGCUCGUGCACUAUGAAUCCUAAGAAUUGUCCGGCGGAUACGCCGAAGGCGCACUUAUUCGGGUUCAUCUUCAGCCCAUGUUUCUUAGUGCAUUCCAAUACUUGUCGUAAAUCGGCCAGAUGCUCCUAGUGUCCUUUCGACUUGACUACGACAUCGUCGAUGUAGAUUUCUACUAGUAUGCCGAUAAGUUUGUGAAAUAUGUAGUUCAUGGCUCUCUGAUAUGUAGCGCCGGCGUUUUUCAAGCCAAAAGUCAUUACCACCCACUCGAAUAAACCAACGUGACCCGGGCAUCUGAAGGCUGUUUUGGGUAUGUCUUCUUCGGCCAUAAGUAUCUGAUUGUACCCAGCGUUUCCAUCCAUGAAACUAAUAACCUUGUGUCCCGUGGCGGCAUCUAUCAGCACAUCGGCCGUCGGCAUUGGGUAUCCGUCCAUUGGUGUGGCCUGAUUGAGGUUCCUGAAAUCGACGCAUACGCGUAGCUUUCCGUUCUUCUUGUAUUCUGGUACAAUGUUGGAGAUCCAUUCGGCAUAACGGCAUUGCCGAAUAAAUUUUGCUUCGAUUAACCGCGUUAUUUCGGCCUUUAUGUCUGGUAGGAUUUUAGGAUUGCACCGCCGUGCAAGCUGUUGAUACGGCCGAUACCCUGGCUUUAUGGGUAACCGAUGCUCAACGAUAGAUCGGUCUAAUCCGGGCAUCUCAUGAUAUUCCCAAGCAAAGCAAUCUUUAAAUUCUCUUAACAAACUUGUCAGUUUACAUUUGUAUUCCGGAUCUAAAUUUGCACUAAUAUAUGUCGGUCUUGGUUUGGUGCCAUCACCUAAGUCUAUCAUUUCUAAUGAAUCGGCCGACGUGAACCCGUGUCCCAGCUUCCCAUCUUCUCGGGCGAACUGAUCCAUUUUAGUCUGAGUCUUCGGAGCCGACUGCUCGGAUCGGCUGUAGGCCAAAAUCGGACACCUUCAAGAAGUCAGUAUCCCAUACUCUCCCGGAUAUGCACUUGACGGUUUCGCAGCUCCACUGCUGCGUGUCGGCUGCCGCGAUGCUGUAUGCGGAAUCGGCGGUGACCACCUCGAUGUUGUCGCCGACCCAUUGUACGAGGCAUUGAUGCAUUGUAGAUGGGAUACAGCAAUUUGCAUGUAUCCAGUCUCGGCCGAGUCGCAUGUUGUAGGACCUCUUGCCAUUAAUGAUAAAGAAAGUAGUAGGAAGGGUCUUACUGCUGAUGGUGAGGUCGACGCAGAGAGCGCCGCGAGCGGGGGAUACGUUGCCCUCGAAGUCCUUGAGCAUCAUAUCUGUCUUGGUCAGGUCAUCGUCGCUCUUCCCAAGCUUCCGGAACAUGGCGUACGGCAUGAUGUUGACUGCAGCCCCUCCGUCUACUAGUAAUCUAGUGAUGGGUCGGCCGUUGACAUGCCCUUUAAGAAACAACGCUUUCAGGUGUUGCCGUUUGUCUUCUUCGGGCUUCUCGAAUGUGGCUGUCAUUGGCUCCAAAGCCAAUUGCGCCAUCUGCUCUUCCAUUGCCGACAUGUCUUGUCGGUCGGCAGGAGUCAUGAAUUCCAUCGGCAGUAUGAAAACCAUGUCGAUGUCGGCUGCCGAUUCGUCGCCUGCCGAUUCGUCGCCUCCUCUGUCGUUUCUUUUGGGGCGCCAUACCUGAGACCUGCCUUUCUUCUCAUCCGUCGUGUACUGUUGCUCUUCCUCCUGCUGUUCCCACUGGCGGAGACGUUGGAUUCUUCAUUUUUGAGACUUGGUCAAUCCAUCGGGGCACCACCUGGGGUUCACCGGUUUGGUUCGUGGUCUAGCACGUUCCCAUUCUGGUCCGCGUCCUAAAGGGUUCUCGUCUGAUACCCGAGCAUGGGCCAUCUCUUCAAGUCGACUGUGGACGCUGAUCCUGUUUUCUGGCCGGUCAUGUCAAUCAAAUCUGCCCCCCGGCCCAUCAUCACGCCUGCCUUCCGACCGGUCAUAUCGGUCACUUCUGCCCCCCAGCCGAUCACGUACUGGAGGGCGCCGGUCAUCUUGGUCGCACCAGUUCCUGCUGAUCGGCUCUGGUUUCCCAUCUCUAGAGAGAGACCUGCUGAACAGCCGGUUGUUACGAUACGGGCCGUUGCAUUCAGGGCAUAUCGGCCGAAGGCAGCCUGAGGUUGCUUUCCCAACAGUGGAUGAAGAACGGACAUCGCCAGUGAUCUUCAUGUCGCCGCAUUGCUUCUUCCCGGGAUCUUGAGCGUUCAUGUUGCCGCUGAUAUUUAUUGAGCAGGAAUUGGGAAGUAAUGUGUCUGUGUGGUUCUCCUGAUCCGUCGUCAUUGUCCUCCAUCCGCCGUUUCCCCUUGACGUCUUCAGGCGCCGCUUGAUUUCUGGGGUCUACGGCGCCACUCUUUUUAGCUGAUUCGGAUGUCAGCACCUUGGUUUGGAGCGAAUUGUUUCCCGCGUCAACCAUGUUGGUGGGGAAAGGGUGCUGGUCGAUCUUCAUCGGCUUGGCUAGUUUUGUUGGCACUUCAAAUUUGAGUCUGCCCUGCUCAAUGGCCGACUGUAUCUGCUACCGGAAGAUUUUGCAUUCAUUAGUAUCAUGGGAGGUAGCGUUGUGCCACUUGCAAUAUUUCAUCUUCUUCAGCUGUUCGGUAGAAGGGAUCGUAUGGUAUGGCGAGAGCUUGAUCUGUCCUUCCUAGAGGAGGAGGUCGAAGAUUUUAUCGGCCUUUGAUGUGUCAAAUCCGAACGUUUCCGGCUCCUUCUUGCCGAACGGACAUGAUAUCAGCUUCUUCCCUUUAACCCAUUCCGCAAGGCUGAUUUCUGUGUCUUCUUCGGUUUCAACCUCUUCUAAGUAUGCCACCUUCUUCUAGAAGUUCCUCCGUGGAUCGAAAGAGCGUACUUCUUGACCGGACAAUCGGUGGACGAUCUGGCUCAAAGUCUCAAACUCCUGUGAGGCGUAUUUUUCUUUGAUGUGAGGUAGGAGACCUUGGAAGGCUAUAUCGGCCAACUGUGCAUCAGUCAGGGUCAGGGAGUAGCACUUAUUUUUGAUUUCCCUGAACCUCUGUACAUAUGAGGAUAUCGGCUCGUCGCUUCUCUGCCUGAGGCUGGUCAAAUCGGACAGCUUCAUCUCAUGUACCCCGGUGUAGAAGUAUUUAUGAAAUUGCCUUUCCAAAUCGGCCCAUGUAAAUAUCGAUAGGGAUGACGAGAAAAGGCGCACCCGUAGAGCAUCCUGCGCCGCUGCUUCCCCGCAUUGGAUGAUGAAUCUGUUCACGUGUUCCACGGUUGAGGUGUCGUCCAGCCCCGAAAACUUUGUGAAAUCAGGAACUUUAUACCAAUGGGGAAACGGCAGUAAGUCGUAUGUAGGCAGGUACGGUGUCCUGUAUGUGUAGGUCUGCACCUUCGGUUUCAAGCCGAAUUGCUCCUGGAUCACCUCUGCUAUACGCGCCGACCAGUCCGGCUGUUGCUGGUAAAUCGUCGGCUGAGGAACUGGUACGUGCUGAUAUAUUGGCGGCGGGAUGACUUGAUGUUGAGUGAAAGCGUGUGGCGUUUGAUGUGUCAUAGCCGGCUGCGUAGUCAGGGUCGGCUGUUUGAAUGAGCCGCUUGUUUCGUCAUAUAGUAUGAGCGGUGCGACGCCCCGAAGUACUUCCGUUGAUUCUGCUGCUCUGCUCAUCUCUGGUGCGACAGGCUGGUACUGCGCCAUGGUUGGUCGAGUGGCCACCUGGAAAGACGCCUGGAAUUGGGGACUUCCAUGGUUGGCCGGUUGAUCCUGGACGGCCGUCACUGAUGGUGCCCCCCAAGGCGCUGGAUUAAACGGAGGAAACUGCACGGGGGACAACUUAAUGGGACAUGGCUGGAGGUGUUGCGUGCCAUUAAACCCCAUAGGGACCGAUGAUGAGGAAGCGCCAGAAACCCCAACCGGAAUUUGGGUCGGCUGAGAAGCCGAAUAAGGUAUAUUCUUGUUCGGAGCCGUAAUCGGCGGAGCAUAUGCCGGCCCCUGGUACCCUUGAGAUACACCGCUAGCCAAGGAGCUGAUGACGGCAUUGUAUACCGUAUUAGAAAGCACCAGGGAUUGAUCGAUGAAAGCUUGAUAGACGGAUUGCUGGACCAUCUCGGACAUCUUGUCCGAGUCCUCGGUGAUUGUGAUCUGGCGGGGAGUUGGAAACGAAGCCUUUUUGAUAGUCUCCCCGCUCCUGGUGCGACUGAAGGACUGCAGACAUGUCUUCCGGUAGUAUGCCGUCUGCCUCUCUAGUUCUUCCUUCUGGUCAUCCCUGAGAUCUGCCUCUGUCACUUCGAUGAUGUUAUCUUCGGAGACUUCAGCAGAUUUCGACAUGGUGGCGGUUGUAUUGGUCCCACCGGGCGUGCCAAAAGUGUGUUGGCGCUAGAAAUCAGCUGAUCGAAUUCCCAGUGUCGGACACACGACCCGGGAGAAUCUGCUUAGCUCCUGUUCGGGUGACUGCCCUGGUGCGGUUCGCGCGGCGUGCCAGCCAAUCUGACCCGUUGAUUGGCAAGGAAAUAAACGUGUCAGUUCCCAGAGGUUGCGAUCGGCUAAGGUUCCGAUCUCGAGAAAGCUUAUCAGCGAGUUGGCCGAUUUGCCGUAAUAAAGAAAUCAGCUAUGAUGCAACCGAGUACCAGGCGAUGUUUAUAAAGAAAACUGCUAGAGUAAUCUAAACAACGCUAUAGUAGCAACACUACGAAUAGAUCUGAAUCGGCUAUGAGGAAAGAGGUAAAUUAAGUAACAAGAUAUAAGAAAGCCGAAAGUUCUAAUUACAAGCUGGAUAACUGGUGAUAAAACUAGAAUAACAGGUAAAACCUAGAAUUCUAGUGAAUAUCGAUAACUGGUGAAUAAAUCUAAACGAAACAACAGUGAUGCGCCUGAAGUUAAAGCUUAGAUAUUACUCGAUAAGCGGAACUUACAGAAUUGGCCGGAGAUCAAGUUGAUGCAGCCUCGCCAACCCGUACGAACUCGUGAAAAGAAGAAAAGUAUUGGCGAAGUCGCCUGCUCGAAAGUAAGUACGAGGAAAUAGUAGUUUGUUGUAUUGAGUUGAUGACGAUUACAGAUCUACAAGGGUGGCUAUUUAUAGCCCUGUACAAACGACUUCUUAUCCGACUAGAACUCUAUCCCUAAAUUCAAACACAAAACGAAUAUUUACAAGUACGAUUCGUACUAUUUUCACGCGCUUCAUGGGCUGACCCCCUCUUCAUCUUCAUAAUCCUUCUUAAGCCCACAUCGGCCCAACUAUUCCAACCUCCUAAUCGGCUGAUCACCUCUUUGGCAAGGGGGUAACCGAUCAGGACCCACAUGUCGAGGGCUCAGACUCAUUCCGACCCUGGGAACUAAGGUCGGACGAGGCGGAGAUCCUCCUUUGGAGGGUCGGGCGCGUCCGAUCCCAAACCUCAGGGGUCGGGCGAGGCGGAGAUCCUCCCUUGGAGCGUCGGGCACGUCCGAUCUUAAACCUCAGGGGUCGGGUGAGGCGGAGAUCCUCCCUUGGAGGGUCGGGCGCGUCCGAUCCCAAACCUCAGGGGUCGGGCGAGGCGGAGAUCCUCCCUUGGAGGGUCGGGCGCGUUCGAUCCCAAACCUCAGGGGUCGGGCGAGGCGGAGAUCCUCCCUUGGAGGGUCGGGCGCAUCCGAUCCCAAGCCUCAGGGGUCGGGCGAGGCGGAACUCCAAGGAUCAAUCGGCCGAUCCUCGACUGUAGCAUCAAUUGGCCGAUCCUUGACUGUAGCACCAACCAACCAAUCCUUGACUGCAGCACCAAUCGGCCGAUUUCCAAUCGUUGCCCUUGCAUCUCGCCGCAUCUUCUAAUUUCUUCCACUUCCAACGCCGAUUUUACUCGUGUUAAAAUCUGGCGUCAACAGCUAUUCUUCCAACGCUUUUUGCUGUUCUUCUCCCCAAAGAAUUAGGGUAUUUUACGGGUCUUGUAAUACCCUAGUGUUGAACAUAGUUGUUUAAUUACUUUACUUCCUAGACUUGUUUAAAUUUGAAACCCCUAGAAUGGUCUAACUUGGACUCUAAGUUUGUUUCAAUCUAUGGUUUGUAAUAAUUCGCACCUUUAGUAUUUAUGUAAAAAUGUAAUAUUUUUUGAUGCUUUCCCUUCGCGAUCCUGAUGUAUGGUUAAGAUUUAAGUCGUGGAUGAUUCAAAGCAUCCUAGGGACACUUGACGGACUACCAGAUUUAAACUAUUUUAAUUGCGCUUAAGCCAGUUUAAGUCGGACGGUUCUGCCACACUUUGUGUCACUCUGAUAUGUAAUAAAUACUUUAAUACUCUUUCAUUAUGACAUGGUUGUGGUGAUUCACUUAUGAAGUCCAUUAUAUGUGUGAAACUUUGAUCCUGGCAUACAUAUGAGAUGCAUCCGGUUUUCCCUCUAAAAUCGGGCAUGACAAAAGUGGUACCAGAUCUAUGAUGACUGUAGGACAUGAGCCUAGUUAGCAACGGUCUUUUUUCAAGGAUUAGUAUGCUUAUUCUACCUUGUUCUAAUUAUCCUUGCUCUUGUUUUGUUAUAUAUUCUUGCUCAUUUUGAUUAUUUACCUCCUCCUUAUUGUUAUUUCUACUCAGUUAACUUCGUCAUUGUUUAUGCUCUACUCAUGCUAUCUUAUCUUGCCUUAAUGUCUUUAUAGUUGUUCUAACCUUCCACUUUCUCCACCCAUAGAUGGUUCUAACCAAGAGUAGUGCUCUUAAGAUGGCCAGUGACACUCUUGCUUCUCACACCCCUCCUCCACCACGUGAGGAGAUAGAGCCAGAAGAAGAGGUGCAAGAAGAACAGGAGGACCCUGAAGAGCUAGAGCAGGAAGAUGGGCCUGAGGAGCAUGGAUAUGGAGAUGACUUAGGAGACCCUACAAGCUUAGAGGGUGAGAGCCUUGUGCCCCCUCAGUCGCUAGAGAGAUGGAUUGUGAUAGUCUAUCGCCACACUGUAGGAGAUGCUCGCUUCCCAAUGUUGCUUCAAAUGCUUUUCGAUCUCCUCUAGUACAAUGUGGAGAUAGACUAACAUGGACAAAGAAGAUGGCAUCCUAGGUAUCCCGAGGAGUGGUACAUGUCAGUGCACAUCUGUGUAGCUAACUAUGAGCAUGGGGGAACUCUAUAGGUUGCAGUUCACUACCAGAGCUACCUUUGCUGCUAGGAUUGAUGAAGUUGUAAGGCAAGCCCUUGGUAUGUUGUGCCAUGAAAGGGCUCACCUAAUUGGCAACAACGCAUGGAAGCACCUUCCCCGUUGACCACCUGGUUGUUUGGGAAGCGUGAUAGUAGAAGUUAGAGAUCAGAUGAACCCAAGAUUGAGAGCUCAGGUGGGAUUCACUACAGCACUCAACACCCACAAGGAUGGUACUGCAAUGGAGCUACAAGAUGUCCGCGACCAGCUAUAUGCAAAGCGGAGGAAGAAUGAGGAGCUUAGAGCUGAACUCAGAGGAGAUGACCCCCCGAUGCUAGAAGAAGCUGGUGAAGAUUGGAUUGCUCACUCCUCGCCGCGCAGAAGGACUAGAUAUGGUUCUCCUAGUUCUAUCACCUAUAUCCAGUAGGAUAGGUCUUCCCCUUGGUAGACUAAAAUGUUUAGUUCGAGUCGUCGUGAAUGUUGAGUCGUUGCUUAAGAUUUUGAUUAGGGGUGUUUGCUUCGUGUUUGCUUUAGUGCUAUAUAUGUGAUUUGGAUCAUUGUAAUGAUGGUGCUUAAGUUGUGGAGUGAUGACUAUAGCUAAGUAAAUUAAAUCAAUAUAGCUAGUUAAUUAGUUUGGGUUAUAUUUUGGUUCUUGCUUUUAGUACUCAAGUAAUUCGUUAUCUAGCUCACUUUAUCUGUUCUCGUCACCACUUGACAAAGCUGUAUAUUUUGAAUUAUAUCUGGAGCUACAGAACUCCAAUUUCCCUGAAUCCAGUUGGCUUAGAUUCAGAAUUAUAUAGGCUAAUUUAUGGAGAAUUUUCAUGAAUUUUUGAUUCUCUGACAUAGAGAUACAUGGGUGUUGGUGGAAUGGUCAGAAUCUGUCAUUACUAUCUGAUACAGUUAAUUUGUUUAUGUAAUAUCUCGAGUUCCAUACCUCUGAUUGAUGUGAUUCAAGCUGUGUUCAUUCAGAAUUUCAUAAACUAUGUUCUGGGAAAUUUUCACUAUUUUUGUAUAUUUUGUCUGAUAGUUAAACCUGAUUUAGUGGGACGAACAAAGUCUAUUGUAAUCUGGAAAUGCCUCUGCCACAUUCUAACCUAGUCAUUGUUAAUUAUGAUAAUCAUAUUGGAAAACUCAAUCAUACAAGUGUUGUAACUGGAUUGCAUAUUUACUUAUAUUUUUUAUUUAUCUCUUGGCCCUCUCUAAGUCCACCACCUCCUCCUCCGCCACCACCACCACCGCCAUCACAUCCUCCUCCUCCGCCACCACCACUGCCUCCACCUCCGCCACCAUAUCCACCAUUGCCAGCACCUCCUCCUCCUCUGCCAUUGGCACCGCCACCACCUCCUCCUCCUCAACCACUGCCACCUCCUCCUCCACCUCCGUUGUCACCUCUUACUCGUCAUCCUCCUCGUCCUCUUCCUUGUCAUCAUCAUCCUCGUCCUUCUCAAUGUAGACGUGAAGGACCGGAAAGGCGACCAGAGGGGGGUGAAUGGGAGCCGAUUCAAAUUUUCUCCAAGAACUUUAGCUAAAAACCCACAAACCCCUCUUCUAGCAAAAUCAAGUCUAAUUAGCUAUGCACAAGCUAAUGGACCUAGGAAUGAUGCUUGGAACCUAAUUUGAAAAUAGCGGAAGCAAGAAAGACUCCAAACAAGCUUCGAAAGACAAACUUUCAAAACCAACACCUCUGUGCGGAAAAAUCCGGAGGAACCUUUGGAAAAUUCCGGACGUGCGGAAAUUUUCGGAGAAACCUUCGGAAAUUUCCGGAGGUCUGGACAUUUCCGGAAUUAUGUCCGGAGAUUUCCGGAAUUCCAAAAUAGCCUACACGAAGAUGGUAGAAAAAUCCGAAACGGGUCAAACAACCUCCAAAAAUCACGAAAAUUGAACCAUAGCUUCAAAACAUACUAAAGAAGCUUCUCGUAUGAAAUCAUCCCGAAAAGUUUUGUCAAUCAAAGGGAAUUUCAAAUCUUGUGAAGAACUCUAUUUUCUCAAUGCCAAAACUUGAAUCGACCCGAUCUAUGAACUCGUGAGGUUUCAAUCAAAUCCCUUCUAUGGAAAGGUUCAACUCACAUCCUAGUUCAUUUCCAAACAACCGGAUUGACUCAAAACUCCCCAUAAAACACGAAUUGACCAAAAAUGUGAGAACGUGAGAGGGAAGAAAAGGAAGAGAACAAGAAAGCAAAGACCACAAGCGAGAUUUGCACAAAACCGUCAUCCUCCAACACACAGAGGACACAAGGAGGUUAGGGCCUCCAUUCCCGCAACAAACUUUGGUUCAAUACAUGGAUUCGGUGUUCAAAACAUCCGCGGACCUCUAGAGAAAGAGUAGAGAGAGAGAGAGAAACCAAAUGAAACUCUAGAGAGAGAUGUGGUGGGAGAGAGGUAGAAGAGAUGCUGAAAACUUCAGCCCCCCAUCUCUAUCUAUAGGCGCGGACGAAAGACUAAACUACCCCUAUAGCUACUACUAAGAUAACUACCCACGCAGGGGUAUUUUGGUCCAAGUUUUUGUACCCAUGUCGGGGUAUUUUGGUCCAAGUUUUUGUAUGCUCAUUGGAUGGACACGCCACCUUCACGACUUUGCUUUGCGUCGACGCAAGCUUCGCGAUGAUGCCACGUGCCCUCCUUCUCGAAGCUCUGGCCGCACCGGGCACACCUCCAGUUUUGGGGCCCAAACCGGCAAACUUGCCUGCGCAGUGGUUUUGAGGUCCAAACCACCGAAACCGUCCAUCUUCGCUUGGCCACCACGUGACCUCCUCAAUGUCGACGCAUGUCCGGUCUCCACCAAGCAUUUGAUGCCUCCAAGUCAUUUGCUCCUAGCUCUCGGGCCGCCUACUUGACUUGCCUCCGUCCCGCUUGCUCAACCAAUGUCGUCUCCAUCACCGUCAUGUUCUCUUGCUAUUCCGUGCACCAUGUGGACCGCCCAUGACUCCGCCCGGACUCCUCGGGUCUAUGGGUCCAAGCCCAAUCACGUUCAUCCUUCACCGCCCUUGGUCCAUCAGCAUGAACCUUUCGCUUGACCUUCAUCGCACGUCGUCGGCCACCACAUCGCAUCCAACACCUGCACAUCACAAGCUAAGAGCAACAUCAAACCAACACAACAUUGUCAAUCACUCAUCAUCCAAGGGUGAUCACCAUUGGUCCUCACGAUGGCAUCCUCCUCCUCCUCCUCCUCCUUGUACUCGAUCUCCACACUAUAGGAGUACCUGGGGGCUCUCCUACCCCAAAGGCGACGUCAUUUGUAGGGAUCCUUGUUGUAAUACAAUGGCUUAGCAUACUCUAAAUGGUCCCCAUCCCCCUCGGAAGAGUAGUUGGAAGGUAGAGAAGAAGCAAUUGGAGAAGAAGCCAUGGUAGUUGGUUAAGUUUUCUGAAGGAAGAGAGCAUGGAAGCGAUCGAGGGGUUGGUUACCAAUUACCAGGAAGGGUAUUGGUAUAUAAUGGCACGAAGUUGCCAAGGAAAGGCUAGAAGGGUCGCAUAGGGGGCAAGAGAUGCAUUGAUUGCUGAUAAUGUGGCGGUCUUUUGCAAGUGAAUAAUAUUGAAAUCUCAGGGAAUUCCGAUAAAUAAAUAAAAACUUAGCAGCAUUUUGCAACUAGUACUGAACAUGGAGAGGUAGCUGUACAAGAUUGAAGGUACUAAUCUUCGACAAGGGACAUAGUCUAAACAAGGCAGUUCCAACGAAAUCUAAAUGUACUAAUCUCCCUAGGGUCAUCCAAGGCCUCACUCACCAGCGACGUGUGGAGCGGGCCAUGGACUUGCGAUGCAGAUGGGUGAGCAACACUGGUCAGAUCGCGUUCCUGGCAGCACGCGUGCUGUGUGGCCAGCUCAAGUCCGGUGCCUCCGCGUGUUGUGAAUUAAAUCGAGCUCAUGUGAUGUGAAUCGAUCAAUCUUGUGCUAACUGAUUGGUUAUCUUCUUACUUGUGCGAUUGUCACACGUGAUGAGCAGCAGACUACAAGACAAAUCUUCAAUUACUUCUAGCGCAUGGAUGACCUCCAGUUGAUGGUGCAGCAAUGAAAGGGAAACUACCAGACAGUGCCUCUUUCUCUGCGGAUGCACGGGCAUCGGACGUGCCGCCAGGCUUGAUUUCUUCUAGCAGGACCUUGAGCGAGGGAGGUUAGGGAUGACAAGUGGGACCUGAUUGUCAUAAGGAGAGGGAGGUGCUAGGGAGUUGGCACUCGGCAAAUGGGUCAUCUUGCAUGGUCUGUCCACGGUGCCUAUCUGACGUGGUCUGCCACAUCUGCUAAAUUAGUAAAUGUGUAAGAAUCUUCUCUUUCAUCUCUACACCUAUAAAUCCACCAAACUUUUCUUUCCUAUAUGCACCCCAUGAAAUGUCCCCCACUGAGAUAUACUUUACUUCAUCCAUACCAAUCUAUCCACCCAGAACAUCAACUCCUUUAAAUUACAAGGUCCAGAUCUUCUUUCAUAUCUUCUCUUUCCUAACUUACUCAAAUCCAAUAGCUCAUAGUACUUGGAUCAUCCUGCAUACCCCUUCGUUCGCCCGUACCCCCACCUCCCCCACGCGCACAACCUGCCCCCGCGCCGCAACCUUUCGGCUCCUCAGGCCCUCGACUGACUCGUACCUUCCUCCACGCGACCCGACCCAUCAGCUUUCUCAUCAGACUGCUCAUCUCUUCUUCAAUCACCACCACCAAAAAAGUGUUGGAGAGAUGCCCUAUAGGCAAUCAUAGAGAUGAUGAUAUUCCAUUUGUAUCCAUGUUUCAUAUUGUGUUCCUUGAAUAUCCAUUAAAGGCUACUUAAAUUGAUUUGCAAUUAUGUGAAUUGUAUGUGAAACUCUUUACUUGUAUGGUUAUUCUAAAGUUAUCCCUAGUCGGAGUUCAUGUGAGGACACACAUGAACAUUAGACUAGUACAUGUAUUUGUUGAUGACUAUAUUUCACAAGUCAUGGACAUGGAGAUGUCAAACUAAUAAUGUAAGCGUAUGUGGAGACAUAUGCUAGGACUGACCCAACACGAGAAGUAGUUCUCUCUAUACACAACAUGUACGCUUUAUCCUUAGACCUGAGAUUAUCGCAUGUACUCAAGAUGUGGAUCGUCUUACUUAGGGGCUAUCAAACGCUACACCAUAACAGGGUAGUUAAAAAGGUAGCUUUCGAGUUUGUCAAGAAGCAUAUGUGAGGCAUGGUCAAAUAAAGAUGGGAUUUGCCCCUCUCUAAUUGAGAGUGAUAUCUCUGGCCCCCUCGAGUGAUCGGAUCCGAAAAUGCAUGGCCAUGCUACGUACGGUAAGAGUUAACCUACAAAGGGAUUCAGAAUCACAGGAACGAGAAAGAGCGGUCGGCUUGGAGCUAGACCAAAUAUCAUGAGGCAAAGAGAGUAGCAAGUACGUGAUGUCGUGACGGUUCAUCUGAUAUAAUCUUCGUGUGCGUAUAGGAGUUGGCACGUCUUGCUAGAGGCCGCUAUGGACUAUUGGGCUGAGUAGGAGUACUCGGGCUAUGUCUAUACGUAUCUGAACCUAUAGGGUAAUACACUUAAGGGGUUGGAUGCCCAAUUUGGAUGUGAUCCAAAUUGAAUCAGGUUUAGGAGUACUAAUGAGCCUUGGACCCAGAGGCCCGUCAGGAACCUCUAUAAAUAGAGGGGUGGGGGCACCCUAGGGUUUCAUCCCUUUGGCUGAAAACACAUCUGCCAUGCCUUCCACGCCCUCGCCCUGUUGCAACUCGCGGACCUAGCAGUCCGGCUUGCGACGCUUCUUCCCUGCACGUGUGGAUACCAUGGAGGUGUUGCACCUGCAGCACUUGGACGAGCCGCCGACGAGCUACGACGAGCCGAUGACGAGCCGCGGCACGACGACGACCUUGCUGCACAUGGAUGAGCUGCUGAGGAGUUGCUCGACGUCGGCGUGAUUGACUACGUGUUCGACUAAGCUGAUCAACUUCGCUGCCCCAACGCGAUUCUACAUCUUUCGCACCAGGGUCGGAAUUUUGUCGUAUGCGUGUGCUUCGGUAAAACAACCGUAACUUUUCGGUACGAUCUCGGAUCGAGGCGAAUUUUAUAUGGAAAUUGAUCUACAGAAAAAGUUACACAUAAAAUUCAAUAACUUUGCCGCUUUUGGUGAAAUUAGAUUUCCCAAAUUCAGCUUGGAAGAUGGAGUUACGGGCCUCUGAAGUUUGGAACGUUAGAACGCCUGACUCUGUUUUGCAGGAUGGAUGGAUCUUGUGAUCAGUAUGGCCCCCUUGUGUAUGUGAUGUAUGUGUGCAACUCUUUCGUAACCUGCGUGUCGCGCGUACGGCAACACGGCUGGAGCCAUAUGUGUUGUCACCUUAAUGUAUUUAAUGGUCUGCGUACCAAUCUGUGAUGAUCCAAGCAACUAUGUAAUCUUCAUUACUAGCUAUUAGGUGCAAUAGCAUGUUCUAGUUCUUGGAGGACUCAUCACCAGGAGGAUGGCAAAAAUGGAACAUGGAGAUGGAGAUCACCAUGGUGAACAGGUUCUAUGGAGACGGAGAUCACCAUAAGAAAACGGGCCAUACUGUGUCACAACUGUGUGAAUGCUAUUCUCUAUGUUUUACUUCCUGCAUAAUGUGAUGUUAGAAGUAGAACGAUCCCUCGCAAAGUUUAUGUUUGUAUGCCCUCUCAACUAAAACUUGCACCGUCCCAUGUCUUGUACAAUUGGUGGUGGGUCUAUGAAAUUAGGGUGCCACUAGUUUUCCUUAACUAGAUGGGUUUGGGUCGGACACUUACACGCAUAAGGGUUGGUUUGCUUAACAAGGUUACCUUAACGGUUAAGGACCUUGGGGCAUAAAGGUUGCACGCCGAGACAUGGAGAUGUCACCAAACAACAGGAGUCAUAUGUGAUAUGAUUAGCAAGGAGUUGCUUACCGAUCUACCUUGUUUGCUAGCGGUGAUGCUAAAGCUCACUAGUAGACUUGUUAAUUGUGGAUCCUUAAUCACUAAGUAUCAAUAGAGGGAUAUUGAUUUUAGUGGGAGUAGAUUCUGUUAAAUAAGUUUAAUGUGAUUUACUCUAUCAUGGAUACGUUUAUCUUAGUGUAUUUUGCAUUACUUUUGUUAUAGAUUAAAUGGCACCUAGCAAAACCACACCGUUUGCUUUGCGUUCGGUCCUUGAGAAGGACAAGUUGAAUGGAACAAACUACUCGGAUUGGAUCCGUAACCUGAGAAUUGUUCUCAGGGCUGAUAAAAAGGAAGAUGUUCUGGACACCCCAAUAGCAGAAAAACCUGCUGAUGAUGCAUUUGCUGCCGUUACGGCUGCUUACAAGAAAGCAUUUGAUGCUAAUCUUGAGGUAAGAUGCCU
Molecule: long non-coding RNA, 33276 nt
Filed under: Setaria viridis
Lineage: Eukaryota; Viridiplantae; Streptophyta; Magnoliopsida; Poales; Poaceae
Description: long non-coding RNA (SVIR_LNC010859)
Source: RNAcentral